GCCAGGUAAGCAGGUGGGAGGCUCCCCUUACUCAGAGAGUAAGGUCCUAAUUAAGUAACCACCUUUAGUGCUUUCCUUAGACACCAAUUAGAUUAAUUGUUCUAGAAUGGGUUAGCUCAAAGUUUUUCAAUACUAUGACUUAAUAUAAUUUUUAUUGAGGGCUUACUAGUCUCUAGCACAUUCUUUAAUUGUAACAUAUAUUUAACAUGUCUAAAAUAAACUAUUAUGCAUCAUGGCUAUCUCAUAGCAUGUAUAAAUCAUAAGCAAUUAAUUAACAUGCUUCAACAUAUUUUUAUAUGGAAAAUUUCAUAUCAUGAUAUUUUAUUACAUAACAUAUCAUAUAUGAAUCAUACAUUUCAGCAUUUCUCUAAGCAUAUGACAUUACUAUCUCAUAGUAAAUUAAUAAUCAUACAUCAUACAUAAUUAUUUGAUUGAACCAAUUAGGGAUGGCUCUGAUACCACUGAAG
This 467-nucleotide long non-coding RNA is filed under the name Phoenix dactylifera (date palm). RNAcentral describes it as "long non-coding RNA (PDAC_LNC009767)". The record is from RNAcentral. Lineage: Eukaryota; Viridiplantae; Streptophyta; Magnoliopsida; Arecales; Arecaceae.